Molecule: ribosomal RNA, 1071 nt
Filed under: Bacillus amyloliquefaciens
Lineage: Bacteria; Bacillati; Bacillota; Bacilli; Caryophanales; Bacillaceae
Description: bacterial SSU rRNA
Rfam family: Bacterial small subunit ribosomal RNA
Source: RNAcentral
UAUACAUGCAGUCGAGCGGACAGAUGGGAGCUUGCUCCCUGAUGUUAGCGGCGGACGGGUGAGUAACACGUGGGUAACCUGCCUGUAAGACUGGGAUAACUCCGGGAAACCGGGGCUAAUACCGGAUGGUUGUCUGAACCGCAUGGUUCAGACAUAAAAGGUGGCUUCGGCUACCACUUACAGAUGGACCCGCGGCGCAUUAGCUAGUUGGUGAGGUAACGGCUCACCAAGGCGACGAUGCGUAGCCGACCUGAGAGGGUGAUCGGCCACACUGGGACUGAGACACGGCCCAGACUCCUACGGGAGGCAGCAGUAGGGAAUCUUCCGCAAUGGACGAAAGUCUGACGGAGCAACGCCGCGUGAGUGAUGAAGGUUUUCGGAUCGUAAAGCUCUGUUGUUAGGGAAGAACAAGUGCCGUUCAAAUAGGGCGGCACCUUGACGGUACCUAACCAGAAAGCCACGGCUAACUACGUGCCAGCAGCCGCGGUAAUACGUAGGUGGCAAGCGUUGUCCGGAAUUAUUGGGCGUAAAGGGCUCGCAGGCGGUUUCUUAAGUCUGAUGUGAAAGCCCCCGGCUCAACCGGGGAGGGUCAUUGGAAACUGGGGAACUUGAGUGCAGAAGAGGAGAGUGGAAUUCCACGUGUAGCGGUGAAAUGCGUAGAGAUGUGGAGGAACACCAGUGGCGAAGGCGACUCUCUGGUCUGUAACUGACGCUGAGGAGCGAAAGCGUGGGGAGCGAACAGGAUUAGAUACCCUGGUAGUCCACGCCGUAAACGAUGAGUGCUAAGUGUUAGGGGGUUUCCGCCCCUUAGUGCUGCAGCUAACGCAUUAAGCACUCCGCCUGGGGAGUACGGUCGCAAGACUGAAACUCAAAGGAAUUGACGGGGGCCCGCACAAGCGGUGGAGCAUGUGGUUUAAUUCGAAGCAACGCGAAGAACCUUACCAGGUCUUGACAUCCUCUGACAAUCCUAGAGAUAGGACGUCCCCUUCGGGGGCAGAGUGACAGGUGGUGCAUGGUUGUCGUCAGCUCGUGUCGUGAGAUGUUGGGUUAAGUCCCGCAACGAGCGCAACC